Phyllostomus discolor (pale spear-nosed bat) is the source of this 138-nucleotide small nuclear RNA. RefSeq annotates it as U4 spliceosomal RNA. The record is from RefSeq and is a predicted model, not a curated record. Lineage: Eukaryota; Metazoa; Chordata; Mammalia; Chiroptera; Phyllostomidae. The transcript has a single exon.
AGCUUUGCACAGUGACAGUAUCAUAGCCAAUGAGGUUUAUCCGAGGCGCGAUUAUUGCUAAUUGAAAACUUUUCCCAUAGAGCCCCAUCCUCUGUGCCAGAUUUUGGACUGAGGGAUAUGGAGAUACUGAUUCUUCAG